RNAcentral lists this long non-coding RNA (1115 nucleotides) under Haliotis rubra (blacklip abalone). RNAcentral's name for it is "uncharacterized LOC124292181, transcript variant X1". The record is from RNAcentral. Lineage: Eukaryota; Metazoa; Mollusca; Gastropoda; Lepetellida; Haliotidae.
CUGAGAAAUCGUAAUCCCAAAUAUAACAUGUUUUACAUUUUACCACUUUCUAAAUGGCAUUGUGCAUUCAUAACUAGCAAUCAGUUGUCCCAAAUCCUCUUGUGAUUCUGUGAGACAAAAUACCCAAUUCUGUAACUUGAGAGAAUCUGGGUGCAUUAUAUAUUCUCGCAUUGACAUUCCCCACAUGGUGUGAAGCCCAUUUCCGGAGUCCCCCGCCGUGAUAUUGCUGGAAUAUUGCUAAAAGCGAUAAUUGUACAUACACAUUUGCACACAUAUACGAGUUUGGAAUGGGAAAGGUUCUUGUAAGUAGAAUCAGAUCACAUUUGAGAAUUCCGAAAACCAGUAUGUCAGCCGUGGAAGCUAAUUAACGUAUCGCCACUUGUCAAUCAAACCAAUGACCUGACCAAUGAGGAACGUCAAAUUACUCAAUCCGUAUCGCGCUGAAGUCAGCUGACAGCCGACCACCAUUUUGUCCGACAUCAGUGGUCUGGUGGACUUUUCAAAAAUAAAUCGACGUUUACAGUCAACUUUUUGAUCAUGGUGAAAAGGUGUAGCUAGGGUACCUGCAACUCGGACACGCGGUACCCGGAACGACUUGCAGGUGGUAUCACCUUUAUUCCAUUCCCCAAGCCUGCCAGAAAUUUUGACAAAUGUCAACGAUGGAUACGUUUGUGUGGUCGCCCCAAAUAUCAACUGAACAUGGACAUACUUCGUGACCACAGCCGAAGAAAAUAUUUCUUCGUAUGCACAAAGCACUUUGUUGAUGGAAAACCCUCCAAGACAUUUCCGGACUCCUCAUGAACAAAAUGAAAAUCCAAAGACAGUAAGAUCACGACCCAAACCUCGCUUGCCAUUAUUGGGCGACUUAAAAAAGGAAAGUUCUUCUUGAAACACACAGAUGUAAUCACAGUACUGGUAUUUCUGAUUCACGAAAUCAGAUGGAUAUUGAACAUCCAGAGCCUACAACCAUGCAGCAUGAAUCUGAUAUUCUUGUCCAACAACGUGACACCAUGGGUCCCUUGUCACUGGAUAUGCUGGCUCUAGCUGCAGAGAACAAGCAACUCAAAGAAGAUAUGGCCAAACUGAUCCUGGAAAAGGAGAAGGUCAUGCGUGCC